GAAACGCGAUAUGUUUUGUGAAUUGCAGAAGUGAAUCAUCAAUUUUUGAACGCACAUUGCGCCUUGUGGUAUUCCGCAAGGCAUGUCUGUUUGAGCGUUGUUUCUCUAUGAGGUCGAAAUUCUUCCUUGAAAUAUAAGAGCAAACACGUUUGACAAAAUUAUUCAACCUCAGAUCAGACAGGACUACCCGCUGAACUUAA
Molecule: unclassified non-coding RNA, 200 nt
Filed under: uncultured Candida
Lineage: Eukaryota; Fungi; Ascomycota; Saccharomycetes; Saccharomycetales
Description: sequence contains ITS1
Rfam family: 5.8S ribosomal RNA (bases 1-100)
About the family: 5.8S ribosomal RNA (5.8S rRNA) is a component of the large subunit of the eukaryotic ribosome. It is transcribed by RNA polymerase I as part of the 45S precursor that also contains 18S and 28S rRNA. Functionally, it is thought that 5.8S rRNA may be involved in ribosome translocation.
Source: RNAcentral